Molecule: ribosomal RNA, 634 nt
Filed under: uncultured fungus
Lineage: Eukaryota; Fungi
Description: eukaryotic LSU rRNA
Rfam family: 5.8S ribosomal RNA (bases 236-389)
Source: RNAcentral
AGUAAAAGUCGUAACAAGGUUUCCGUAGGUGAACCUGCGGAAGGAUCAUUAACGAAUUGAACUGGGUUGUAGCUGGCCUUUCGAGGCAUGUGCACGCCCUUUCCAAUCCAACAUACACCUGUGCACCUCUGGGGAAGAUACUUGAUCUAAGUUGGUUAACGACGGCGAUCUUUGUCUUCUCUUUUUACACCAAACUACAGUUAUAGAACGUCUUUUGCUUGAUGCAAACAAAUACAACUUUCAACAACGGAUCUCUUGGCUCUCGCAUCGAUGAAGAACGCAGCGAAAUGCGAUAAGUAAUGUGAAUUGCAGAAUUCAGUGAAUCAUCGAAUCUUUGAACGCACCUUGCACUCCUUGGUAUUCCGAGGAGUAUGCCUGUUUGAGUGUCAUGAAAUUAUCAACUUCAUAGUUUUAUUACUGUGAAGCUUGGACUUGGAAGUUGCUGGCUUUGUUCGGCUCUUCUUAAAUACAUUAGCUGCUUGUCCGUGGGUUGGCUCAGAGUGUGAUAAUUAUCUGCACUUGGUGGCUGCCUGCAAGGAUGUGGCUUCUAAUCGUCUUCGGACAAUUUCUUAAGAUCUGACCUCAAAUCAGGUAGGACUACCCGCUGAACUUAAGCAUAUCAAUAAGCGGAGGA